GAUUGCAUCUCAAAAUUUUCUAUAUAUUGAACUAAAUAAAUAUUAAAUCUUUAUCUAGAUUAUAGUGAAAUAGAGAUCAAAUCUUUAGAAUCUGGAUUCAAAUCCUUGUGUAGGCCUGGAUUUGCAGGCCCUCUAUUUUACGCGCACGCCAAGCUCCACAGGAAAGCAGGAUGAAGCUUUGGAUUGAAGCACCUUCGCAAGGCCACCAAGGGAGGAAAGAGAGCUGCUGAUGUGAUGCCUCACACCAGUCAGAAAGAUGCCUGAAGAAGGCCCAUGGCA
Molecule: long non-coding RNA, 279 nt
Filed under: Elaeis guineensis (African oil palm)
Lineage: Eukaryota; Viridiplantae; Streptophyta; Magnoliopsida; Arecales; Arecaceae
Description: long non-coding RNA (EGUI_LNC057092)
Source: RNAcentral